This is a long non-coding RNA of Triticum dicoccoides, 3137 nucleotides long. RefSeq lists it as uncharacterized. The transcript is spliced from 7 exons. Lineage: Eukaryota; Viridiplantae; Streptophyta; Magnoliopsida; Poales; Poaceae. The record is from RefSeq and is a predicted model, not a curated record.
CCCCUCUGCAAGACCACACUCUCUCACCCCUCUUGCUCGUUCUCUCCGCCACAUCGUCGCAGCCGCCAACCCUCUCCGCCACGCCGUCCCAGCCGCCACAACUCCCCACCUUGGCACGUCCCUGCCUCCUCCCAUCCCCUCCACUCCUCGGUCCCCGCCACAGCUAUCUGUUUCGGCCGGGUCCAGUGAGCAAUGGUGAGACCAGGUGUCGCGGUGAGCAGCCGGAUCCGGCCGUCGGCGAGCCGCGCCGUGGAUCUAGCCAUCCCAGGGCGAUUUCCGGAGCCGAGGGCGACUUGAAGAUUUCUACCUCAAGCUGAGCCGCGCCGUCGAUCUGGCCAACCCAGGCUGAGUUGCUGGCUUGCUGCCUGUUGGCCUGCUACACAGCCUACUGAUAGUAUGCUCGGUAUUUGACAGGGAAAUCACACAGCGAAGGUUGGAGACUGAUGCGGAUGCGCGCAAGGGCAACGUUGGAUGACACCUAGAAGAGCAAGCACAGUGCAGCGAAGGAAGUACCGAGCUUCGGCAGCACUACACCAUCGUCCUCUGCCUCACCGAGCACAUCAAUUUCAUGAGAUGAUCAACUCCCCGCAUAGACCCGCUUCAAGGGAGGAGGAUGCAGAGGCCAGCAACAAGGAGCGGGUGUGGGUGCUCAUCCUCGCCGCUGACCACAAGUGCUGCGACAAACUUUGGGCAGAAUUCGAUCCCUCCACGGCACAAUAUGGAUAAAGAGUUCUCGUUCAUUCCCUAUCGAGAUUAGCCUACGGAUUAUCCGAGACACCAUCAGAGAAGAUGGAGUUGUCCAUCCUUUAUGCUUCAAUCUUACAGUUCGUAAGAUUAGCAGUGACGCAUCAGAGAGGAGCGCAGGCACCAACUCUAUUGGAAGGACACACUAUUUUAAUCUGCAAUUUCAUAAGCAAGCAUGGGCACUAAGGCAGACCUGGUUAACCCAAGAAUAGGGCACCCAGACUCUUAUUGAGACCGUCGUGCUAGAGCCUUUUCCUAAAUACUACGUGUUCCACGCCCCUACAAUUUACCUUCUCCCACUGGCACCCGUGGAUUCAUCCUACGGGCUAUUUGCAGUGAAAAUGGAUAUGGACAGGACUGUCAUUAUUGACUAUUCAAACCAGGCAUUAUUUGAUUUUGAGGAGGAGUUUCAUGACAUAGAACUUCAGAGAGAAGCUCUAUUAGUUAAGCAAGAAUUCAAUGUUAUUCUCCAACAAGGGGCCCCUGAUAGGAACAACCAGAUUUUGGAAUGGCCUGAACAAGUUAACAUUCAUGUCUCACAUCGGCGCAUGGACUCUGGAUUUAAAGUUUUACAGGAGAUGGCCAACCUGUACGGAACUAUGGGGUAUGACAUCACUACUAGAAAUCCCCAUAUUUCCGAUGGUGAAAUCUAAUAGCCGACGGACUGUCGGGUAUUACAGUAAUAGCUGACGGUAGUUAUAAUGGCCGAUGGUUACUGUCAACUCACGAGUAUUACCACUAAUACCCGACGGUAUACUAGAAUGCCUGACGGUGAAAAUUCACCCCUCGGAUAUCCAACUUAAUGCCCGACGGUUCAUCGUAAAACCCGACGGUUUUUCCUACACCCACAGGGAUUACAUGUAAUGCCCGACGGGUUUCCCUACACCCACGGGGAUUACAUGUAAUGCCCGACGGGUUUCCCUACACCCACGGGGAUUACAUGUAAUGCCCGACUGUUAAUUGUAAUGCCCGACGGUUUUUGGUACACCCUCGGGGAUUACAUGUAAUGCCCGACGGUUUCUGCCACACCCACGGGGAUUACAUGUAAUGCCCGACGGUGAAAUUUAAUAGCCGAAGGUGAAAACAAAACUCUGACCUAUGAGAGGACAUGGCUGGUGGUAGAUAUGUGCCUCUUGGUUAUUUGAGAAAAUACCCGAUGGUGUAUAGUGAUAACCGGCGUUUGACUUUCCCUCUCCAUGAUAUGUUUCAAUGGACAACAUAUGUAGAACGGCCGAUAUUAUAUUCCAGAUAAUUCAGAAGAUUCCAAGAACUAACAUCUAGGAUACCCGAGUGCAUUAUGUUCUUUUUCACAAUUAAUAUAUAGGAUGCUUAAAAAUUGGUACAAGAUAAUACAAAUAUGAUGUUUAAAAAAAUUGCACUUACAAAAGUACUAGUUUGCUAAUUUCUUGGUCAUGUACUUCUGUAACUUGCCUUGAACGUAUCUUUGGUUUUUCUAAUAAAUGCAACUUUGUCUAGAAGGACCCCGACCUUCAUGUAUAUUAUUAAUUAACUGUAAAUGUGUCGUGAAGUAUUAUUAACAUCUUGAAUUAUAACGAGGAUGAGUGUUGUAUUUUAAAAUUAAGAAAGUGAAAUGCUAUGCAUACGAUCCUAUACAUACAUAUGAUCCUUUUUGUCCGAAGCAGUGUGACCAUUCUUUUUCCUCCCAACCAAGAAAGUAAAAGGGAGGCAUCACCCUUUCUACAAAGAGUCUGCCACAUGGAGCGAGGCAUUACCGUUUCAAAGUGCUGCCGUCCCCUGCAUCGGUUGCUCAUCGUCUUCAGAUCCUUCCCCGACAAGUCGAUCGGCCCUAUGGUUGGGGGUGGUUUCGAAAACCAGCCUUUUCAAGCAAGGAUUGUGUGGCGGCGGCAUCCUCGUGGUGGACAUGUGUCCUCGGGCCGGCGUCUGCCCCAACAUCGGUGCGGAGCUUGGGAGGUACGUAGUUCAGGAGCGGAUGUAGAUUGUGGACUACAUCGACGACAUCUGGAAGACGGAAUAUGUGAUGGGUUCGUGGUUGAUGGAUGGAAAGUGUGGUUUCCUCCUUCGACGUCUUAGUUGUGGUGGGGUGCCAGACCUUGAGUUCGAUAGGGUGUCCGGGGGUGUUGCUCAGAUCUGAUUCCUUCAACGACAAUGACUUCAGUUUUGGUGAGCCACCUUGGAGGCCCACAAAGCUGCAUAUCAGCGAUGGAGCCGCGUCGAGUUUGGGUGAGGAGGUCAUCCGUCGUUCUUCUUUUCGGUGGCUGUUGUGGUCGUGCUGGGGCAGGUGACGGAGCGUUGGUGUCUAGCUCAGAGAUGUUUUGCUAUCUUUUCAGUUUUGUCAUGCCGGUCCUUACGUGGCUUGUAUUUUAAUCUUUAUGAUAUGAAUGAGACACGUAUUACCAUGCAAAAGAAAAAAA